Molecule: long non-coding RNA, 1750 nt
Organism: Gorilla gorilla gorilla (western lowland gorilla)
Lineage: Eukaryota; Metazoa; Chordata; Mammalia; Primates; Hominidae
Exons: 4
Source: RefSeq, a predicted model, not a curated record
UUCUCUUUUUCAUAGGUGAGGAAACUAAAUGAGACUUUUCCAGGAGUUACUGUUGUAAACUGCAGAACCUGAAUUUAAAUGCCAGUCAAAUUCAUGGAUAAGUAUGGCCUCUCUAUAUAGGAAAUUCCUCUUCAUUUUAUCAUCUAGCAAACAGGUACUGGUGCCAGGGCAUUACGCUGGGUACAAGAUAUGCAGUGAUGAGCAGAAAAGAUGCUGUCUGUGCUCACAUGGAGCUUCCAGUCUUUAACAAUCAGUCAGAACUGUGUCAUUCCAGAUGUGAGUCUUGCUUUGUUGCCCAGGCCGGAGUGCAGUGGCACGAUCUCAGCUCACUGCAGUCUUCGCCUCCCAGGUUCAGGUGACCCUCCUGCCUCAGCCCACCUAGUAGCUGGGAUUACGGGCACGCAUCACCAUGCCCGGCUAAUUUUCGUAUUUUUAAUAGAGACGGGGUUUCACCAUGUUGGCCAGGCUGGUCUCGAACUCCUGACCUCAGGUGUUCCACUCGCCUCAGCCUCCCAAAGUGCUGGGAUUACAGGUGUGAGACACCGCACCCGGCCAAUAUUUGUAAAUUUUAAGGGAAAAUGCAUCGGAAGAAAUUAGGCGGUCUGGGGAGGAGUAAUUUUUCUUUUUUUUUUUUUUUUUUUGGAGACAGAGUCUCGCUCUGUUGCCCAGGAUGGAGUGCAGUGGUGCCAUCUCGGCUCACUGCAAACUCCGCCUCCCAGGUUCAAGCAAUUCUCGUGCCUCAGCCUCCCAAGUAGCUGGGGUUACAGGUGCAUGACCACGGUCGGCUAACUUUUGUAUUUUUAGUAGAGUCGGGGUUUCAUCAUAUUGACCAGGUGGGUCUCGAACUCCUGACCUCAAGCAAUCUGCCUGCCUCAGCCUCCCAAAGUGCUGGGAUUACAGGCGUGAGCCACCGUGCCCGGCUCAGGAGUGAUCCUAAUGACAGUGACUACUUCUAGAGGGAUCAAGUGGAUGAACCGGAGUGACUUAUGGAUUGUGACAGGCCUUUCAUGGAAGUUGCCAUGGUUCUGCAUCCCUAAACCAGUGAGACACAAUGGCAAGUUUCUCUUCCUACAUCUAUUUCAACCACCAGCUUAACUCCCCUUCCUGAGUGCAGCUAAAGCUGUGGCCAUCAGGCAGGUGAAGCUUGGUGCCUCCUGUUCAACCAACAGGAAUGACUGAAGCAGGAUGGGGGUGGGACCAGCAGUAAGAAGCCCAGAGCAAUGACCAGAGCUCCCUUUCUGGGGAGAGCUGGGCUGGAGAAAAUCUAUGCACUGCUGAUCUCCUAAGGAGAGAGCUUCAAGGAUGAAAAGAUGGUGUCCCACAGGCCUGAGGCUGCACAGAUCUAGCUUUUGCCAUUGAGGACAGCAGGGACAGUAAAGCUUCCCAGAUCCCCUUUCAACCUGCCAGCUGGCAUGUCACCUACCAUAGAGGAAGCCAAUCCUAGACCUUGUACUACUUGAGAGAUUGCAAAAGUAUCCUGUUAGCUGGGUCUGGACCCCAAUGAUAAAUAGACUCAUGAGUGAGCUAAGGAAAGGAACUGGCCCAUCUAAAAGGAACCGGCCCAAGGAAAAGCAGGAAUCUAUGAAGGCAUUCAAUAACUUGGACCAAAAAGGAACAAGAAGGUAAAAUUGAAUACUUGGGUGAUGGUUACACUAAAAGCCUAGAUUUCCCCACUACAAGAUAUAUCCAUGUAACAAAACUGCACUUGUACCCCUUAAAUUUAUAUACUUAAAUAAAAUAAAAUAGAAGA